Small nucleolar RNA from Pteronotus mesoamericanus, 105 nucleotides. RefSeq annotates it as small nucleolar RNA U13. The record is from RefSeq and is a predicted model, not a curated record. NCBI's taxonomy places the organism in Eukaryota, Metazoa, Chordata, Mammalia, Chiroptera, Mormoopidae. The transcript has a single exon.
AUCCUUUUGUAGUUCAUAAGUGUGAUGAUUGGGUGUUGCUCCUGUUGUGUGACAUGUGCCUCCCACAAAUCUUGUUAUGACAAUCAGCACAUUACCUGUCUGACG